UACAGAGGUGGCAAGCGUUGUUCGGAAUUACUGGGCGUAAAGGGCGCGUAGGCGGUCUUGUAAGUCUUGUGUGAAAUCCCUCGGCUUAACUGAGGAACUGCACGAGAUACUGCGAGACUUGAGUUCGGGAGAGGAAAGCGGAAUUCCGGGUGUAGCGGUGAAAUGCGUAGAUAUCCGGAGGAACACCGGUGGCGAAGGCGGCUUUCUGGACCGACACUGACGCUGAGGCGCGAAAGCUAGGGGAGCAAACGGG
This 253-nucleotide ribosomal RNA is filed under the name uncultured bacterium. RNAcentral describes it as "partial 16S ribosomal RNA". It matches the Rfam family "Bacterial small subunit ribosomal RNA", at positions 524 to 776 of the family's 1533-position model. The record is from RNAcentral.